Molecule: ribosomal RNA, 1318 nt
Filed under: uncultured bacterium
Lineage: Bacteria
Description: partial 16S ribosomal RNA
Rfam family: Bacterial small subunit ribosomal RNA
Source: RNAcentral
CGUGCUUAACACAUGCAAGUCGAGAGGGAUGCUUUUGAUAGAAACUUCGGUCGAUAGAGAGAGCGGAUAGCGGCGGACGGGUGAGUAACGCGUACGUAACCUACCUCUUACACAGGGAUAGCCUAGGGAAACUUGGAUUAAUACCUGAUAAUGCAGUUUGUUCACAUGUACAGACUGCAAAAAAUUUACAGGUGUGAGAUGGGCCCCCGUCUGAUAACAUAUUAGGUGAGGUAACAGCCCGCCAAGUCAGCAAUCACUACCCGGCCUGAUAGGGUGAACGGCCACAUCGGGACUGAGACACGGCCCACCCUCCUACGGGAGGCAUCAGUGGGAAAUAUUGGACAAUGGGAGACACCCUGAUCCACCGACCCCGCGUGAGUGAAGAAGUAUUUCGGUAUGUACACCUCUAUCAGCGAAGAAGAAAAUGACGGUACUUGACUAAGAACCCCCGGCUAACUACGUGCCACCAGCCGCGGUAAUACGUAGGGGGCAAGCGUUAUCCGGAUUUACUGGGUGUAAAGGGAGCGUAGACGGCAUAUCCAAUCUGAAGUGAAAAUGCAUGGGCCCAACCCAUGAACUGCUUUGUAAAAUGUUAAACUACAGAGCGGGAAAGGUAAGUGAAAUCCUAGUGUAGCGGGGAAAUGCUUAUAAAUUAAGAGGAACACCAGUGGCGAAGGGGGUUUACUGGACUGUAAAUGACGUUGAGGCUCGAAAGCGUGGGGAGCAAACAGGAUUAGAUACCCUGGUAGUCCUCGCUGUAAACGAUGAUUAUUAGGUGUUGGGGGUGUAUAGACCUUCGGUGCCGCCGCAAACGCAUUAAGUAAUCCACCUGGGGAGUGCGUUCGCAAGAAUGAAACUCAAAGGAAUUGACGGGGACCCGCACAAGCGGUGGAGCAUGUGGUUUAAUUUGAAGCAACGCGAAGAACCUUACUUGGUCUUGACAUCCCGAUGACAAAGUAUGUAAUGUACUCUCUCUUUGGAGCAUCGGUGACAGGUGGUGCAUGGUUGUCGUCAGCUCGUGUCGUGAGAUGUUGGGUUAAGUCCCGCAACGAGCGCAACCCUUAUUUUCAGUUAGUAACAGGUAAAGCUGAGGACUCUGAAGAGACUGCCGGGGACAACUCGGAGGAAGGUGGGGACGACGUCAAAUCAUCAUGCCCCUUAUGACCUGGGCUACACACGUGCUACAAUGGCCACCACAGAGAGGAGCGAACCUGCAAGGGGGAGCGGAUCUCAAAAAAGUGGUCCCAGUUCGGAUUGUGGGCUGCAACCCGCCCACAUGAAGUCGGAGUUGCUAGUAAUCGCGGAUCAGCAUGCCGCG